CCGGGGACGCGCGUUGGUUGCGGAUACUGCGGACUGUGAUGAUCUCCAUAGAUGACGAGUCUGAUUCGAGCUUCUCGCUG
This 80-nucleotide small nuclear RNA is filed under the name Eremothecium gossypii FDAG1. RNAcentral describes it as "FAgSNR75". The record is from RNAcentral. Lineage: Eukaryota; Fungi; Ascomycota; Saccharomycetes; Saccharomycetales; Saccharomycetaceae.